CCGGCGAUGUCCGAAUGGGGAAACCCAGUGUGAUUCGUCACACUAUCGUUAACUGAAUACAUAGGUUAACGAGGCGAACCGGGGGAACUGAAACAUCUAAGUACCCCGAGGAAAAGAAAUCAACCGAGAUUCCCCCAGUAGCGGCGAGCGAACGGGGAGCAGCCCAGAGUCUGAAUCAGCUUGUGUGUUAGUGGAACGGUCUGGAAAGUCCGACGGUACAGGGUGAUAGUCCCGUACACCAAAAUGCACAGGUUGUGAACUCGAAGAGUAGGGCGGGACACGUGGUAUCCUGUCUGAAUAUGGGGGGACCAUCCUCCAAGGCUAAAUACUCCUGACUGACCGAUAGUGAACCAGUACCGUGAGGGAAAGGCGAAAAGAACCCCGGCGAGGGGAGUGAAAAAGAACCUGAAACCGUGUACGUACAAGCAGUGGGAGCACCUUCGGGUGUGACUGCGUACCUUUUGUAUAAUGGGUCAGCGACUUAUAUUCUGUAGCAAGGUUAACCGUAUAGGGGAGCCGCAGGGAAACCGAGUCUUAACUGGGCGUUAAGUUGCAGGGUAUAGACCCGAAACCCGGUGAUCUAGCCAUGGGCAGGUUGAAGGUUGGGUAACACUAACUGGAGGACCGAACCGACUAAUGUUGAAAAAUUAGCGGAUGACUUGUGGCUGGGGGUGAAAGGCCAAUCAAACCGGGAGAUAGCUGGUUCUCCCCGAAAGCUAUUUAGGUAGCGCCUCGUGAACUCAUCUUCGGGGGUAGAGCACUGUUUCGGCUAGGGGGUCAUCCCGACUUACCAACCCGAAGGUAUCAGAAGUGCGAAUGCUGACAUAAGUAACGAUAAAGCGGGUGAAAAGCCCGCUCGCCGGAAGACCAAGGGUUCCUGUCCAACGUUAAUCGGGGCAGGGUGAGUCGACCCCUAAGGCGAGGCCGAAAGGCGUAGUCGAUGGGAAACAGGUUAAUAUUCCUGUACUUGGUGUUACUGCGAAGGGGGGACGGAGAAGGCUAUGUUAGCCGGGCGACGGUUGUCCCGGUUUAAGCAUGUAGGCUGGUUNUCCAGGCAAAUCCGGAUAANCAAGGCUGAGGUGUGAUGACGAGGCACUACGGUGCUGAAGUAACAAAUGCCCUGCUUCCAGGAAAAGCCUCUAAGCAUCAGGUAACAUCAAAUCGUACCCCAAACCGACACAGGUGGUCAGGUAGAGAAUACCAAGGCGCUUGAGAGAACUCGGGUGAAGGAACUAGGCAAAAUGGUGCCGUAACUUCGGGAGAAGGCACGCUGGUGUGUAGGUGAAGNCCCUGCGGNUGGAGCUGAGACCAGUCGAAGAUACCAGCUGGCUGCAACUGUUUAUUAAAAACACAGCACUGUGCAAACACGAAAGUGGACGUAUACGGUGUGACGCCUGCCCGGUGCCGGAAGGUUAAUUGAUGGGGUUAUCCGUAAGGAGAAGCUCUUGAUCGAAGCCCCGGUAAACGGCGGCCGUAACUAUAACGGUCCUAAGGUAGCGAAAUUCCUUGUCGGGUAAGUUCCGACCUGCACGAAUGGCGUAAUGAUGGCCAGGCUGUCUCCACCCGAGACUCAGUGAAAUUGAACUCGCUGUGAAGAUGCAGUGUACCCGCGGCAAGACGGAAAGACCCCGUGAACCUUUACUAUAGCUUGACACUGAACAUUGAGCCUUGAUGUGUAGGAUAGGUGGGAGGCUUUGAAGCGUGGACGCCAGUCUGCGUGGAGCCAACCUUGAAAUACCACCCUUUAAUGUUUGAUGUUCUAACGUUGGCCCCUUACCGGGGUUGCGGACAGUGUCUGGUGGGUAGUUUGACUGGGGCGGUCUCCUCCCAAAGCGUAACGGAGGAGCACGAAGGUUAGCUAAUCCUGGUCGGACAUCAGGAGGUUAGUGCAAUGGCAUAAGCUAGCUUGACUGCGAGCGUGACGGCGCGAGCAGGUGCGAAAGCAGGUCAUAGUGAUCCGGUGGUUCUGAAUGGAAGGGCCAUCGCUCAACGGAUAAAAGGUACUCCGGGGAUAACAGGCUGAUACCGCCCAAGAGUUCAUAUCGACGGCGGUGUUUGGCACCUCGAUGUCGGCUCAUCACAUCCUGGGGCUGAAGUAGGUCCCAAGGGUAUGGCUGUUCGCCAUUUAAAGUGGUACGCGAGCUGGGUUUAGAACGUCGUGAGACAGUUCGGUCCCUAUCUGCCGUGGGCGCUGGAGAAUUGAGGGGGGCUGCUCCUAGUACGAGAGGACCGGAGUGGACGCAUCACUGGUGUUCGGGUUGUCAUGCCAAUGGCACUGCCCGGUAGCUAAAUGCGGAAGAGAUAAGUGCUGAAAGCAUCUAAGCACGAAACUUGCCCCGAGAUGAGUUCUCCCUGAGACUUUAAGUCUCCUGAAGGAACGUU
This 2382-nucleotide ribosomal RNA is filed under the name Klebsiella pneumoniae. Its description in RNAcentral is "partial 23S ribosomal RNA". It matches the Rfam family "Bacterial large subunit ribosomal RNA". The record is from RNAcentral. Lineage: Bacteria; Pseudomonadati; Pseudomonadota; Gammaproteobacteria; Enterobacterales; Enterobacteriaceae.